GAUGAACGCUGGCGGCGUGCCUAAUACAUGCAAGUCGAGCGAACAGACGAGGAGCUUGCUCCUCUGACGUUAGCCGCGGACGGGUGAGUAACACGUGGAUAACCUACCUAUAAGACGGGGAUAACUUCGGGAAACCGGCGCUAAUACCGGAUAAUCUCUUGAACCGCAUGGUUCAAUAGUGAAAGACGGUUUUGCUGUCACUUAUAGAUGGAUCCGCGCCGCAUUAGCUAGUUGGUAAGGUAACGGCUUACCAAGGCAACGAUGCGUAGCCGACCUGAGAGGGUGAUCGGCCACACUGGAACUGAGACACGGUCCAGACUCCUACGGGAGGCAGCAGUAGGGAAUCUUCCGCAAUGGGCGAAAGCCUGACGGAGCAACGCCGCGUGAGUGAUGAAGGUCUUCGGAUCGUAAAGCUCUGUUAUUAGGGAAGAACAAAUGUGGAAGUAACUAUGCACGUCUUGACGGUACCUAAUCAGAAAGCCACGGCUAACUACGUG
This 497-nucleotide ribosomal RNA is filed under the name uncultured bacterium. RNAcentral's name for it is "partial 16S ribosomal RNA". It matches the Rfam family "Bacterial small subunit ribosomal RNA", at positions 28 to 507 of the family's 1533-position model. The record is from RNAcentral.